RNAcentral lists this transfer RNA (73 nucleotides) under Rozella allomycis CSF55. Its description in RNAcentral is "tRNA-Tyr (GTA) (tRNA-Tyr-GTA-1-1, tRNA-Tyr-GTA-1-2)". It matches the Rfam family "tRNA". Rfam says of the family: Transfer RNA (tRNA) molecules are approximately 80 nucleotides in length. Their secondary structure includes four short double-helical elements and three loops (D, anti-codon, and T loops). The record is from RNAcentral. Lineage: Eukaryota; Fungi; Rozellomycota.
CCGUCCAUAGCUCAGUUGGUAGAGCGCGUGACUGUAGAUCAUGAUGUCCCUGGUUCGACUCCGGGUGGACGGA